UACCAGCUCUCCGAGUGGUAGGGAUGAUUAUUGGGCUUAAAGCGUCCGUAGCCGGCUUAGCAAGUUUCCUGUUAAACUCAGCGACCUAAUCGUUGAAUCGCGGGAAAUACUACUAGGCUAGGAGGCGGGAGAGGUUGACGGUACUUCUGGGGUAGGGGUGAAAUCCUAUAAUCCCGGGAGGACCACCAGUGGCGAAGGCUGUCGACUAGAACGCGCUCGACGGUGAGGGACGAAAGCUGGGGUAGCGAACCGGAUUAGAUACCCGGGUAGUCCCAGCUGUAAACGAUGCGGGCUAGGUGUUGGGUUGGCCACGAGCCACCCCAGUGCCGCAGGGAAGCCGUUAAGCAUGCCGCCUGGGAAGUACGAUCGCAAGAUUGAAACUUAAAGGAAUUGGCGGGGGAGCACCACCAGGCGUGAAGCCUGCGGUUU
This 429-nucleotide ribosomal RNA is filed under the name uncultured archaeon. RNAcentral's name for it is "bacterial SSU rRNA". It matches the Rfam family "Archaeal small subunit ribosomal RNA", at positions 474 to 903 of the family's 1478-position model. The record is from RNAcentral.